AGGAAGGGAAGUAUGUAGGUAAGGGAAGUCACCCCCGAUGCACGGGCGCCCAGUGGGCCAUUCUUGGUAAGCAGGACUGGCGCUGCGGGAUGAACCGAACGCCGGGUUACGGCGCCGCAUUGCGGCCGACGCUCAUCAAGAGCCCAGAAAAGGCGUUGGUUGAUACAGACAGCAGGACGGGGGCCAUGGAAGUCGGAAUCCGCUAAGGAGUGUGUAACAACUCACCUGCCGAAUCAACUAGCCCUGAAAAUGGAUGGCGCUGAGCGUGCCGCCCAUACCCGGCCGUCGGGGCAGAGAGCGAGGACCGCCGCCCGGGUGGUACGCCCCGACGAGUAGAGGGCCGCCGCGGUGCGCGUCAAAGCGCCGGCCGCGAGGCCGCGUGGAGCCGCCGCGGGCGCAGAUCUUGGUGGUAGUAGCAAAUAUUCGAGUGAGAUCCUCGAGGGCCGAGUGGCGGAGAAGGGUUCCAUGUGAACAGCAGUUGUACAUGGGUCAGUCGAUCCUAAGCCCCAGGGAAGUUCCGCUCCGAGCGGAGGCGGGCGCCCCCCUCCUCGCGAGGCCGGGGCCUCGCCCCCCGGGCGAAAGGGAAUCGGGUCAAUAUUCCCGAACCCGGAGGCGGAGCCCUCCGUCCUUCGUGGCGGUCCGAGCUGCAAAGCAAGCGAGCCCGCAGACGCCGGCCGGGGCCCCGGGAAGAGUUUUCUUUUCUUGGUAAGGGGCGGGAUCCCUGGAAUCGGCUUGUCCGGAGCUAGGGGCUGCGGCCCCGUAGAGCGCCGCGUCUCCGGCGGCGUCCGGCGAGCUCCGGCCGGCCCUUGAAAAUGCGGGGGAGUGCGUGGACCGUCGCCUCGGGUCGUACCCAUAACCGCACC
This 863-nucleotide ribosomal RNA is filed under the name Stegnaster inflatus. RNAcentral describes it as "eukaryotic LSU rRNA". It matches the Rfam family "Eukaryotic large subunit ribosomal RNA", at positions 1075 to 1860 of the family's 3401-position model. Lineage: Eukaryota; Metazoa; Echinodermata; Asteroidea; Valvatida; Asterinidae. The record is from RNAcentral.